GAUGAACGCUGGCGGCGUGCCUAAUACAUGCAAGUCGAGCGAACGGACGAGAAGCUUGCUUUUCUGAUGUAAGCGGCGGACGGGUGAGUAACACGUGGAUAACCUACCUAUAAGACUGGGAUAACUUCGGGAAACCGGAGCUAAUACCGGAUAAUAUUUUGAACAGCAUGGUUCAAAAGUGAAAGACGGUCUUGCUGUCACUUAUAGAUGGAUCCGCGCUGCAUUAGCUAGUUGGUAAGGUAACGGCUUACCAAGGCAACGAUGCAUAGCCGACCUGAGAGGGUGAUCAGCCACACUGGAACUGAGACACGGUCCAGACUCCUACGGGAGGCAGCAGUAGGGAAUCUUCCGCAAUGGGCGAAAGCCUGACGGAGCAACGCCGCGUGAGUGAUGAAGGUCUUCGGAUCGUAAAACUCUGUUAUUAGGGAAGAACAUAUGUGUAAGUAACUGUGCACAUCUUGACGUUACCUAAUCAGAAAGCCACGGCUAACUACGUG
This 497-nucleotide ribosomal RNA is filed under the name uncultured bacterium. Its description in RNAcentral is "partial 16S ribosomal RNA". It matches the Rfam family "Bacterial small subunit ribosomal RNA", at positions 28 to 507 of the family's 1533-position model. The record is from RNAcentral.